UACGUAGGGGGCUAGCGUUGUCCGGAAUCAUUGGGCGUAAAGCGCGUGUAGGCGGCCCGGUAAGUCCGCUGUGAAAGUCGGGGGCUCAACCCUCGGAUGCCGGUGGAUACUGUCGGGCUCGAGUGCGGAAGAGGCGAGUGGAAUUCCUGGUGUAGCGGUGAAAUGCGCAGAUAUCGGGAGGAACACCAAUGGCGAAGGCAGCUCGCUGGGACGUGACUGACGCUGAGACGCGAAAGCGUGGGGAGCAAACAGG
This 253-nucleotide ribosomal RNA is filed under the name uncultured bacterium. RNAcentral describes it as "partial 16S ribosomal RNA". It matches the Rfam family "Bacterial small subunit ribosomal RNA", at positions 524 to 776 of the family's 1533-position model. The record is from RNAcentral.